This 729-nucleotide ribosomal RNA is filed under the name uncultured bacterium. RNAcentral's name for it is "bacterial SSU rRNA". It matches the Rfam family "Bacterial small subunit ribosomal RNA", at positions 663 to 1395 of the family's 1533-position model. The record is from RNAcentral.
GGAAUACGAUAUGUAGCGGUGAAAUGCAUAGAUAUAUCGUAGAACACCGAUUGCGAAGGCAGCUCACUAAGCUAAUAUUGACGCUGAUGGACGAAAGCGUGGGGAGCGAACAGGAUUAGAUACCCUGGUAGUCCACGCCGUAAACGAUGAUCACUCGUUGUGCGCGAUACAUUGUGCGCGACUGAGCGAAAGCAUUAAGUGAUCCACCUGGGGAGUACGUUGGCAACAAUGAAACUCAAAGGAAUUGACGGGGGCCCGCACAAGCGGAGGAACAUGUGGUUUAAUUCGAUGAUACGCGAGGAACCUUACCUGGGCUUAAAUGCAGUUUGAUCGGCUUGGAAACGAGCUUUCUCUUCGGAGCAAAUUACAAGGUGCUGCAUGGUUGUCGUCAGCUCGUGCCGUGAGGUGUCGGGUUAAGUCCCAUAACGAGCGCAACCCCUAUCGUUAGUUGCUAGCAGGUAAUGCUGAGGACUCUAGCGAGACUGCCACCGUAAGGUGAGAGGAAGGUGGGGAUGACGUCAAAUCAGCACGGCCCUUACGUCCAGGGCUACACACGUGUUACAAUGGCUAGUACAAAGGGCAGCUACCUGGUGACAGGAUGCUAAUCUCAAAAGCUAGUCUCAGUUCGGAUCGGAGUCUGCAACUCGACUCCGUGAAGUUGGAUUCGCUAGUAAUCGUAUAUCAGCAAUGAUACGGUGAAUACGUUCCCGGGCCUUGUACACUCCGCCC